This 504-nucleotide ribosomal RNA is filed under the name uncultured bacterium. Its description in RNAcentral is "partial 16S ribosomal RNA". It matches the Rfam family "Bacterial small subunit ribosomal RNA", at positions 30 to 523 of the family's 1533-position model. The record is from RNAcentral.
AUUGAACGCUGGCGGAAUGCUUUACACAGGCAAGUCGAACGGCAGCACGGAGAGCUUGCUCUCUGGUGGCGAGUGGCGAACGGGUGAGUAAUAUAUCAGAACGUGUCCAAUAAUGGGGGAUAACGAGUCGAAAGAUUCGCUAAUACCGCAUACGCCCUACGGGGGAAAGCAGGGGAUCGUAAGACCGUGCGUUAAUGGAGCGGCCGAUAUCUGAUUAGCUUGUUGGUGAGGUAAAGGCUCACCAAGGCGACGAUCAGUAGCUGGUUUGAGAGAACGACCAGCCACACUGGAACUGAGACACGGUCCAGACUCCUACGGGAGGCAGCAGUGGGGAAUUUUGGACAAUGGGGGCAACCCUGAUCCAGCCAUUCCGCGUGAGUGAAGGAGGCCUUCGGGUUGUAAAGCUCUUUCGCAAGGGAAGAAAACUUAUGAUCGAAUAAGUCAUGAGGUUGACGGUACCUUGAUAAGAAGCACCGGCUAACUACGUGCCAGCCGCCGCCGUAA